GUCUAGACUCCGGAAGCAUUUAUAACUGGUGCGCACAACACCACUCCACUUCUCUCCUUGUGUUUCUCAGCAAAUAACUAUUACAUCUUAUGCUGUUCGUGGCAUCGUUGUUUCACCCUUUCAAAUGUCAAUAAACCUCGCCUCCAUCAGUCAACCUGGUGUUCAGAGUUUUGAUGAGCGGAAGGUGUUGAACUUACUGCCUUCGUGUACAAGUGUGCUUAAGGAAGGCAGGCUACUGUAGGUCCGUAAUACCAUCAAAAGGUUCAGAGAAUCUGGAGAAAUCACUGCACGUAAGCGAUGGACCUUCGUUUCCUCAGGCGGUACUGCAUCAAAAAGCAACAUCAGUGUGUAAAGGAUAUCACCACAUGGGCUCAGGAACACAUUUAUAAAACCACUGUCAGUAACUACAGUUGGUCGCUACAUAUGUAAGUGCAACUCAAAACUCUACUACGCAAAGCCAAAGCCAUUUAUCAACGAGACCCAGAAACGCAGCGGGCUAAACUGGGCCCGAGCUCAGCUAAGAUGGACUGAUGCAAAGAGGAAAAGUGUUCUGAGGUCUGACGAGUCCACAUUUCAAAUUGUUUUUUAGAAACGGUGAAUGUCGUGUCCUCCGAACCAAAGAGGAAAAGAACCAUCAGGACUGUUCUAGGUGCAAAGUUGAAAAGCCAGCAUCUGUGAUGGAAUGGGGGUGUAUCAGUGCCCAAGGCAUAGGUAACUUACACAUCUGUGAAAGCACCAUUAAUGCUGAAAGGUACAUACAGGUUUUGGAGCAACAUAUGUUGCCAUCCAAGCAACAUUAUCAUGGACAUCCUUGCUUAUUUCAGCAAGACAAUGCCAAUUCACCUGUUAUAACAGCGUGGCUUCAUAGUAAAAUAAUGCGAGUACUAGACUGGCUUGCCUGCAGUCCAGACCUGUCUCCCAUUGAAAAUGUGUGCCACAUCAUGAAGCCUAAAAUACCACAACGGAGACCACGGACUUAACUUAAACUGUACAUAAAACAAGAAUGGGAAAGAAUUCUACCUGAAAAACUUUUAAAAUGUGUCUCCUUAGUUCCCAAAGGUUUCUUGAGUGUUGUUAAAAGAAAAGGUGAUAAACACAGUGGUGAACAUGCCCUUUCCCAUUACUUUGGCACGUGUUGCAGCCAUGAAAUUCUAAGUUAAUUAUUAUUUGCGAAAAAAAUAAAGUUUAUGAGUUUAAACAUCA
This is a long non-coding RNA of Nerophis ophidion (straightnose pipefish), 1203 nucleotides long. RefSeq lists it as uncharacterized. The transcript has 2 exons. The record is from RefSeq and is a predicted model, not a curated record. Lineage: Eukaryota; Metazoa; Chordata; Actinopteri; Syngnathiformes; Syngnathidae.